This 411-nucleotide ribosomal RNA is filed under the name Triticum aestivum (bread wheat). RNAcentral's name for it is "partial small subunit ribosomal RNA". Lineage: Eukaryota; Viridiplantae; Streptophyta; Magnoliopsida; Poales; Poaceae. The record is from RNAcentral.
AUGUCGACGGCGGCUGCAUCCCGGCCCAGCGGCCCUGUGCUUCUGAGCCCCUUUCCCAACUACCAAUCCGCCUCGCUCUCCCGUGUCAAGCUCUCCGUCGGCGGCUCAUUCCGCUGCAGCCUCCACAAGGAGCGAAAGCAGGAGGCCCCGGCCGCCGGCAGCUGCAGCAAGCACACGGCCAGUACGUGCGCGCAGCUCGUCCCAAGCGGCAGCGGCAGCGGCUGCUCUAAACGCUCGUACAACGGGCUGGCGCAGCGCGUCCCCAUGGGGAGCGGGCACUGGGCACGGAACGCGCUCGUGCCAUCCCACGCGGUGCAGCAGCUGCAGCACCGGAAGCGAGUGGUGGAGCGGUUCCACGCCGGGGCUAGCCGGCUCUCCGUCGCCUCCAUGGCCGGCCGGAUCAACCAGUAA